UUCUCAGAAUGUUGCAUUCUGGAUCGUUACGUUGCCAUGGAUGUGCAGAGUAAAUAAACUUAACUAAGUAUGUAACUGUGUUAGUAGCCCUGUUGAAGUAGUAUCUAAAAGCUGCUGCUUUUAGAUUCUACUAUGCUGCUUUUAGAUACUAUUUCAAUAGGGCUAAUACUUACGUCUCUAACCAAAAUGAGGUGAAAUAGGAGCUUGAUUACAUUUAUAAUGUAGGCUGAUUAUACAGAUAUAGCAGGCAUUUCUUAAAGGCGAUUUAUAAUAAAAUAUGACACCCUUCAGUGAAUAAAAACACUAACAAUGAAACUAGAGGACUGGACUAUGAGCUUGUCCCAUAUGCGAUGGGCCGUUAUAAUUUCACAAAGAAGCUGGCCAGGAAAAGUAAGAAAAAAUUGCCCUUUAAAAGAUACCCAACUCUUUACAGCUAGCUUAGAAACGAAAAAGAUAGAAUCAAGAGUAAACAGCAUUCAGGAGUAUACAAAACACUGGUGUCGAAUAAUGAAGCGUCUAGAAGAGAAACUUAUAUAAGGGUGACAAAUAGGAUGCCAGAACAAAAGUUGAAAGAGCAUAAAAAAGAUCUUGCCAACAGCAAUUUGCGUACAGCUUUUGGCAACGUCUAUGUAUGAGAAAGAUGUACAGGUUAAUUGGCAUGAAGCGGAAGUAGUAAGGCCCUUGAGAAAAGAGAAGCAUGCGUUCCUAGCUGAAACAAUGGAGAUUUACACCAUUCGGAUGAAAGAAAACUUCUUGAAUAGUCACCUGGCACAAGAGUUGCCAGUGCCUUGGAGGUACCUCCUAAAUGUGACAGCCUCUUAAUGCCCCCUUUAUUUUGAUGUGGGGGUUGUACAACCAGAGCUGUAUUUCAUGAGUUUUAAAUAUUAGAACUUUAGGUUUGAUUUUAAUGUUUUAGUUUUUAAUUUUAUGAUUGUGUUCUCUAGGACCAGUAAUGAUGGUUUGUGUGUAGUUUUAUUUAUUUAAUUUUAGCUUACAUUAUCGUAGUUGUUAUUUUAUUUUGUUUUUUUGUACUUAGUUAAGUUUAUUUGCUUUGUGUAUCUAUGGCAACUUAACGAUUUAGAAUGUAAUAUUCUGAGAAUGGCUUAAAAAACUGUAAGUUAUUCUGUGUAGACUUGCUGUGUAGCCUGAAGAUGGUGCGUAGGGCACCGAAAACGUUCACAAUAAAAGGGGGUGAGUUUGCAAUAUAUGUCUGCUUAGUAGUGCUUUUGACUGUCUAGUUAAC
RNAcentral lists this long non-coding RNA (1243 nucleotides) under Androctonus crassicauda. The record is from RNAcentral. Lineage: Eukaryota; Metazoa; Arthropoda; Arachnida; Scorpiones; Buthidae.